This 492-nucleotide ribosomal RNA is filed under the name uncultured bacterium. RNAcentral's name for it is "partial 16S ribosomal RNA". It matches the Rfam family "Bacterial small subunit ribosomal RNA", at positions 29 to 507 of the family's 1533-position model. The record is from RNAcentral.
AGUGAACGCUGGCGGUAGGCCUAACACAUGCAAGUCGAACGGCAGCACAGUAAGAGCUUGCUCUUACGGGUGGCGAGUGGCGGACGGGUGAGGAAUACAUCGGAAUCUACUUUUUCGUGGGGGAUAACGUAGGGAAACUUACGCUAAUACCGCAUACGACCUACGGGUGAAAGCAGGGGAUCUUCGGACCUUGCGCGAUUGAAUGAGACGAUGUCGGAUUAGCUAGUUGGCGGGGUAAAGGCCCACCAAGGCGACGAUCCGUAGCUGGUCUGAGAGGAUGAUCAGCCACACUGGAACUGAGACACGGUCCAGACUCCUACGGGAGGCAGCAGUGGGGAAUAUUGGACAAUGGGCGCAAGCCUGAUCCAGCCAUACCGCGUGGGUGAAGAAGGCCUUCGGGUUGUAAAGCCCUUUUGUUGGGAAAGAAAAGCAGCAGGGUAAUACCCCGCUGUUCUGACGGUACCCAAAGAAUAAGCACCGGCUAACUUCGUG